This 100-nucleotide transfer RNA is filed under the name Thalassobaculum fulvum. Its description in RNAcentral is "tRNA-Phe". The record is from RNAcentral. Lineage: Bacteria; Pseudomonadati; Pseudomonadota; Alphaproteobacteria; Rhodospirillales; Thalassobaculaceae.
GUUACCCUUGAGCUGCUUCUUGGUGGCGGUUUCGAAGUCGAAGUCUUCGAGGCGGUUCCCGUCGACCACCACGACCCGGGUCUCUUCCGGGUGGGUGGCA